Molecule: long non-coding RNA, 1032 nt
Filed under: Macaca fascicularis (crab-eating macaque)
Lineage: Eukaryota; Metazoa; Chordata; Mammalia; Primates; Cercopithecidae
Description: lncRNA (ENSMFAG00000057500.1)
Source: RNAcentral
GACUCAACUUGAUAAUUCCUCCAAUGAAUCCCAUGAGAUUUUCAAAAACUUUCACUUUAGAUUCAUGGGGUACAUGUGCAGGUUUGUUACGUGGGGAUAUUGUAUGACGCUAAGGUCUGGGGUAUGAAUGAUUCCGCAGGACCCAGGUACAACGCAAUAGGUGGAUUUUCAGUACUUGUCCCUUCACGUGAUGAACAUACAGGUGCAAGUGUCUUUUUUUUUUUUUUUUGGAAUGACGUAUCUUCCUUUGCAGAUAUACCCAGUCAUGGGAUUGCUGGGUUGAAUGGUAGUUCUUUUCUAAGUUCUUUGAAAAAUCUUCAAACUGCUUUCCAUCAUGGCUGAACAAAUUUACAAUCACACCAACAGGGUAUAAGUGUUCCCCUGUCUCUAUAGCCUUGCCAGCAUCUGUUAUUUUUUUCCUUUGAUGAUAGCCAUUCUGACUGGUGUGAGAUGGUAUCUCAUGGUGGUUUCAAUGUUCAUUACUCUGAUGAUUAGUGAUGUUAAGCAUUUUUUCCUAUGUUUGCUGGGUGAUUGUAUGUGUUCCUUUGAGAAAUGCCCGUUCACAUCCUUUGCCCAGUUUUUCACAGGGUUGUUUGCUUUUUGCUUCCAGAUUUGUUUAAAGUAUCUUAUAGAUUCUGGAUAUUAGACCUUUGUCAGAUGCAGUUUGUGAAUAUUUUUUCCCAUUCUGUAGGCUGGCUGUUUACUCUGUUGAGUUUCUUUUCCUGUGUGGAAGCUCUUUAGUUUAAUUAGGUCACAGUUGUCAAUUUUUGGUUUGGUUGCAAUUGCUUUUGAGGACGUAGUUGUAAAUUCUUCCUCUGGGCUGAUGUCCUGAACAGUAUUUCCUAGGUUUUCUUCUUCAUAGAGCUCUUGUGGUUUGAGGUCUUGCAUUUAAAUCUUUGAUCAGAGAUAUGCUGGAUAUAAAGACAGGACUCAACCAUAUUCAAGAGUUGUCUCACACGUGACAACAUCUACAGGCUCCAAGUAAAGGGAUGGAGAAAUAUCUGCCAUGCAAUCCAAAAAAAAAAAAAAAAA